Molecule: long non-coding RNA, 369 nt
Filed under: Podarcis lilfordi (Lilford's wall lizard)
Lineage: Eukaryota; Metazoa; Chordata; Lepidosauria; Squamata; Lacertidae
Source: RNAcentral
GUGUUAUUGGUUUGUUUUGUUUUUGUUCCUGUUUCUACCGAGCGUUUUGCGUUUGCCCCUUGUGUCUUUGUGCAGGGAUCUUCAGAUGAUGGGCAGUAUACAAAAAAACAACAACUUUUGAAUGUUUUUAAAUACAGUGGUACCUCGGGUUAAGAACUUAAUUUGUUCUGGAAGUCCGUUCUUAACCUGAAACUGUUCAUAACCUGAGGUACCACUUUAGCUAAUGGGGCCUCCCGCUGCUGCCGUGCCACCGCUGCACAAUUUCUGUUCCCAUCCUGAAGCAAAGUUCUUAACCCGAGGUACUAUUUCUGGGUUAGCGGAGUCUGUAACCUGAAGUGUCUGUAACCCAAGGUACCACUGUAGCUGUUU